This 468-nucleotide ribosomal RNA is filed under the name uncultured bacterium. RNAcentral's name for it is "partial 16S ribosomal RNA". It matches the Rfam family "Bacterial small subunit ribosomal RNA", at positions 28 to 507 of the family's 1533-position model. The record is from RNAcentral.
GACGAACGCUGGCGGCGUGCUUAACACAUGCAAGUCGAACGGAAAGGCCCUGCUUUUGUGGGGUGCUCGAGUGGCGAACGGGUGAGUAACACGUGAGUAACCUGCCCUUGACUUUGGGAUAACUUCAGGAAACUGGGGCUAAUACCGGAUAGGAGCUCCUGCUGCAUGGUGGGGGUUGGAAAGUUUCGGCGGUUGGGGAUGGACUCGCGGCUUAUCAGCUUGUUGGUGGGGUAGUGGCUUACCAAGGCUUUGACGGGUAGCCGGCCUGAGAGGGUGACCGGCGACAUUGGGACUGAGAUACGGCCCAGACUCCUACGGGAGGCAGCAGUGGGGAAUAUUGCACAAUGGGCGGAAGCCUGAUGCAGCAACGCCGCGUGCGGGAUGACGGUCUUCGGGUUGUAAACCGCUUUCGCCUGUGACGAAGCGUGAGUGACGGUAAUGGGUAAAGAAGCACCGGCUAACUACGUG